UGGGCGUUGCUAAGCGUUGGUCAGAGCCACAGUGCCUCUGGUAAAUAGUCUCAGGAUGGAACUUCUUUUAGUGGAACAUGUGUACGUUCAGAAGUAGUUUUACAAAGAAAGAGAAAGA
Etheostoma spectabile (orangethroat darter) is the source of this 118-nucleotide long non-coding RNA. RefSeq lists it as uncharacterized. The record is from RefSeq and is a predicted model, not a curated record. The transcript has 3 exons. Lineage: Eukaryota; Metazoa; Chordata; Actinopteri; Perciformes; Percidae.